This is a non-coding RNA of Lactuca sativa (garden lettuce), 440 nucleotides long. The record is from RefSeq and is a predicted model, not a curated record. NCBI's taxonomy places the organism in Eukaryota, Viridiplantae, Streptophyta, Magnoliopsida, Asterales, Asteraceae.
UUCAGUCUUCACAAAACGAAUGGCGACUUUCUAGCUUCGGCCUUCAAGAUCUUCGACUGGACUUCUGACUUCAGCUUCCUUCCCGUAGGACCUGUACUCCGACUGCGACUUCUCGAAGUCUCCAUCUCUUACCGGCAACCGACGACCUGAAUUUGACGUUUCCCGUCACCGCCGCCGACUCCCUUCCGCAUUUGACGAUAAUUGAUGAUUUACAUUCCGAUGAAGACGACGAGGGAAUUGAGGGAGGAUAUUCAAAUGUCAAUGCAUGAAGAGUUGAAGGAAAUUAAUGGAUAUUGAAGAUGUAGUGAAUUGGUCAAGUUUUGGACACGUUGGUAUUUUAUAUUUGUAAUUUUGGAUUUGUGGUAUUUUGCAUUUGUAAUAUUGGAUUUGUCAUUGUAAGAUUGUUGGAAUAGUUGUUUUGUAAUGAUGGAUAUGUAAUG